GACGAACGCUGGCGGCGUGCUUAACACAUGCAAGUCGAACGGAAAGGCCCUGCUUUUGUGGGGUGCCCGAGUGGCGAACGGGUGAGUAACACGUGAGUAACCUGCCCUUGACUUUGGGAUAACUUCAGGAAACUGGGGCUAAUACCGGAUAGGAGCUCCUGCUGCAUGGUGGGGGUUGGAAAGUUUCGGCGGUUGGGGAUGGACUCGCGGCUUAUCAGCUUGUUGGUGGGGUAGUGGCUUACCAAGGCUUUGACGGGUAGCCGGCCUGAGAGGGUGACCGGCCACAUUGGGACUGAGAUACGGCCCAGACUCCUACGGGAGGCAGCAGUGGGGAAUAUUGCACAAUGGGCGGAAGCCUGAUGCAGCAACGCCGCGUGCGGGAUGACGGCCUUCGGGUUGUAAACCGCUUUCGCCUGUGACGAAGCGUGAGUGACGGUAAUGGGUAAAGAAGCACCGGCUAACUACGUGCCAGCAGCCGCGGUGAUACGUAGGGUGCGAGCGUUGUCCGGAUUUAUUGGGCGUAAAGGGCUCGUAGGUGGUUGAUCGCGUCGGAAGUGUAAUCUUGGGGCUUAACCCUGAGCGUGCUUUCGAUACGGGUUGACUUGAGGAAGGUAGGGGAGAAUGGAAUUCCUGGUGGAGCGGUGGAAUGCGCAGAUAUCAGGAGGAACACCAGUGGCGAAGGCGGUUCUCUGGGCCUUUCCUGACGCUGAGGAGCGAAAGCGUGGGGAGCGAACAGGCUUAGAUACCCUGGUAGUCCACGCUGUAAACGGUGGGUACUAGGUGUGGGGUCCAUUCCACGGGUUCCGUGCCGUAGCUAACGCUUUAAGUACCCCGCCUGGGGAGUACGGCCGCAAGGCUAAAACUCAAAGGAAUUGACGGGGCCCCGCACAAGCGGCGGAGCAUGCGGAUUAAUUCGAUGCAACGCGUAGAACCUUACCUGGGUUUGACAUGGAUCGGGAGUGCUCAGAGAUGGGUGUGCCUCUUUUGGGGUCGGUUCACAGGUGGUGCAUGCCUGUCGUCAGCUCGUGUCGUGAGAUGUUGGGUUAAGUCCCGCAACGAGCGCAACCCUUGUUCACUGUUGCCAGCACGUUAUGGUGGGGACUCAGUGGAGACCGCCGGGGUCAACUCGGAGGAAGGUGGGGAUGACGUCAAGUCAUCAUGCCCCUUAUGUCCAGGGCUUCACGCAUGCUACAAUGGCUGGUACAGAGAGUGGCGAGCCUGUGAGGGUGAGCGAAUCUCGGAAAGCCGGUCUCAGUUCGGAUUGGGGUCUGCAACUCGACCUCAUGAAGUCGGAGUCGCUAGUAAUCGCAGAUCAGCAACGCUGCGGUGAAAACGUUCCCGGG
This 1343-nucleotide ribosomal RNA is filed under the name uncultured bacterium. RNAcentral describes it as "16S ribosomal RNA". It matches the Rfam family "Bacterial small subunit ribosomal RNA", at positions 28 to 1378 of the family's 1533-position model. The record is from RNAcentral.